This 240-nucleotide unclassified non-coding RNA is filed under the name soil metagenome. RNAcentral describes it as "partial contains 5.8S ribosomal RNA, internal transcribed spacer 2, and large subunit ribosomal RNA". The record is from RNAcentral.
AACCAUAGAAACCUGCGGAGUACCUGCGGAGGGAUCAUUAACAAAUUGUCCACAAAUAAUGGAUAAUUUUAUCCAUAUCCACCUUGUGUGAAUCCAUUGAAGUGUUUGUUGGCAGGUUAACACUCUCGUUUGGAGAGCUGUGUGGGUAGUGUUGCCCGGCCUGCCAAUUUUAUGUUUAAACAUGUCUAAAUAGUACAGUCUGAAACAUAUAAACUUUAAAUAAAUACAACUUUCAGCAAU